Molecule: ribosomal RNA, 239 nt
Filed under: uncultured bacterium
Lineage: Bacteria
Description: partial 16S ribosomal RNA
Rfam family: Bacterial small subunit ribosomal RNA
Source: RNAcentral
UGAGGAACAUGACCUUCGGCGGGGGAUGGCCGGCCCAACGGCCGGGUAAUACCGCGUACGACCUUCCGGGGACAUCCCUGGAUGGUGAAAGCAGCAAUGCGCCGAUGGAGUGCCUCGCGGCCUAUCAGCUAGUUGGUGAGGUAAUGGCUCACCAAGGCGACGACGGGUAGCCGGCCUGAGAGGGUGACCGGCCACACCGGGACUGAGACACGGCCCAGACUCCUACGGGAGGCAGCAGU